UACGUAGGGGGCGAGCGUUGUCCGGAUUUAUUGGGCGUAAAGAGCGUGUAGGCGGCCAGGUAGGUCCGUUGUGAAAACUCGAGGCUCAACCUCGAGACGUCGAUGGAAACCAUCUGGCUAGAGUCCGGAAGAGGAGAGUGGAAUUCCUGGUGUAGCGGUGAAAUGCGUAGAUAUCGUCUGGAACGCCAAAGGUGAAAACAGACUGCUGGGAGUGUGCUGACGCUGAGACACGAAAGCCAGGGGAGCAAACGGG
Molecule: ribosomal RNA, 253 nt
Filed under: uncultured bacterium
Lineage: Bacteria
Description: partial 16S ribosomal RNA
Rfam family: Bacterial small subunit ribosomal RNA
Source: RNAcentral